GGUUGAAGGCAUUGUUAUGAUUUGGGGAGUUUGGUCAGUACAGAUGGUUCCCUACACAGUGAUUGCUCUUGGGAUGGAUCUUUUGGUCAUUAUGUUAUUUAAUAAGGGGCCCCAGAUUUUCAGUGGUCAUCCAAGAAAAUGCCUAUGAUACUUGGAAACUGAUCUUCAUGCAACUAAGGCUUAUAGAGUCCUGUGCUGGAAUUAGGUUGCACAUAAAACAUCUCCAACCUCCUGUACCCUGGUAUAUAACUCUUCAGUUGCACUCUGGAUAUGGUACAGAUACCCACCUUACCUACAUUCCUUAUCUACCAGCCCCAGAUUCCACCAGCUGCUCCCAGUAUAUUACAGACAAAUUACAUCCACACAGGAAUGGGCA
This is a long non-coding RNA of Xenopus laevis (African clawed frog), 376 nucleotides long. RefSeq lists it as uncharacterized. Lineage: Eukaryota; Metazoa; Chordata; Amphibia; Anura; Pipidae. The transcript is spliced from 3 exons. The record is from RefSeq and is a predicted model, not a curated record.